GUUAGCCAUGCAUGUCUCAGUGCAAGCCAAAUUAAGGUGAAACCGCGAAUGGCUCAUUAAAUCAGUUAUGGUUCCUUAGAUCGUACCACUUUACUUGGAUAACUGUGGUAAUUCUAGAGCUAAUACAUGCAAACAGAGUCCCGACCAGAAGUGGAAGGGACGCUUUUAUUAGAUCAAAAUCAAUCGGUCGGCUCGUCCGGUCCGUUUGCCUUGGUGACUCUGAAUAACUUUGGGCUGAUCGCACGGUCCUCGUACCGGCGACGCAUCUUUCAAAUGUCUGCCUUAUCAACUGUCGAUGGUAGGUUCUGCGCCUACCAUGGUUGUAACGGGUAACGGGGAAUCAGGGUUCGAUUCCGGAGAGGGAGCCUGAGAAACGGCUACCACAUCCAAGGAAGGCAGCAGGCGCGCAAAUUACCCACUCCCGGCACGGGGAGGUAGUGACGAAAAAUAACGAUACGGGACUCAUCCGAGGCCCCGUAAUCGGAAUGAGUACACUUUAAAUCCUUUAACGAGUAUCCAUUGGAGGGCAAGUCUGGUGCCAGCAGCCGCGGUAAUUCCAGCUCCAAUAGCGUAUAUUAAAGUUGUUGCGGUUAAAAAGCUCGUAGUUGGAUUUGUGUCCCACGCUGUCGGUUCAUCGCUCGUCGGUGUCUAACUGGCAUGGUUCGUGGGACGUCCUGCCGGUGGUGGCGAGUCGAAAGCGUGCGGCCGCCGUGGUUUAUCCACGUGCGGUUCCUGCGCGCCGUAGGCGGACCCCGAUGAAAUCCUACCGCGGUGCUCUUCAUCGAGUGUCGAGGUGGGCCGGCACGUUUACUUUGAACAAAUUAGAGUGCUUAAAGCACGCCGGCUGCGCCUGAAUACUGUGUGCAUGGAAUAAUGGAAUAGGACCUCGGUUCUAUUUUGUUGGUUUUCGGAACCCGAGGUAAUGAUUAAUAGGGACAGGCGGGGGCAUUCGUAUUGCGACGUUAGAGUGAAAUUCUUGGAUCGUCGCAGACGGACCGAAGCGAAAGCAUUUGCCAAGUAAUGUUUUCAUUAAUCAAGAACGAAAGUUAGAGUU
RNAcentral lists this ribosomal RNA (1054 nucleotides) under Paratlanticus ussuriensis. RNAcentral describes it as "SSU rRNA". It matches the Rfam family "Eukaryotic small subunit ribosomal RNA", at positions 44 to 997 of the family's 1831-position model. Lineage: Eukaryota; Metazoa; Arthropoda; Insecta; Orthoptera; Tettigoniidae. The record is from RNAcentral.